UACGUAGGUGGCAAGCGUUGUCCGGAAUUAUUGGGCGUACAGCGCGCGCAGGCGGCCUCUUAAGUCUGAUGUGAAAGCCCCCGCUCAACCGGGGAGGGCCAUUGGAAACUGGGAGGCUUGAGUAUAGGAGAGAAGAGUGGAAUUCCACGUGUAGCGGUGAAAUGCGUAGAGAUGUGGAGGAACACCAGUGGCGAAGGCGACUCUUUGGCCUAUAACUGACGCUGAGGCGCGAAAGCGUGGGGAGCAAACAGG
Molecule: ribosomal RNA, 252 nt
Filed under: uncultured bacterium
Lineage: Bacteria
Description: partial 16S ribosomal RNA
Rfam family: Bacterial small subunit ribosomal RNA
Source: RNAcentral